GGAAUAUUGGGCAAUGGGCGCAAGCCUGACCCAGCGACGCCGCGUGAGGGAUGAAGGCCUUCGGAUUGUAAACCUCUUUCAGUAGGGAAGAAGCGAAAGUGACGGUACCUAAAGAAGAAGCACCGGCUAACUAUGUGCCAGCAGCCGCGGUAAUACAUAGGGUGCAAGCGUUGUCCGGAAUUAUUGGGCGUAAAGAGCUCGUAGGUCGUUUGUCGCGUCGAUUGUGAAAAUCUGAGGCUCAACCUCAGACCUGCAGUCGAUACGGGCAAACUAGAGUGUGGUAGGGGAGACUGGAAUUCCUGGUGUAGCGGUGGAAUGCGCAGAUAUCAGGAGGAACACCAAUGGCGAAGGCAGGUCUCUGGGCCAUAACUGACACUGAGGAGCGAAAGUGCGGGGAGCGAACAGGAUUAGAUACCCUGGUAGUCCGCACCGUAAACGGUGGGCACUAGUUGUGGGAACCUUCCACGGUUUCCGCGACGCAGCAAACGCAUUAAGUGCCCCGCCUGGGGAGUACGAUCGCAAGAUUAAAACUCAAAGGAAUUGACGG
Molecule: ribosomal RNA, 547 nt
Filed under: uncultured bacterium
Lineage: Bacteria
Description: bacterial SSU rRNA
Rfam family: Bacterial small subunit ribosomal RNA
Source: RNAcentral